GGAUCGAGGCAAGAUCGAGGGCUAUCUUUGACAUUAUUGACAAAUUAGAGCUUGAGGAGAGGCGAUUUUUGAAAGAUUUUCAAGGAAAACUUGUGGUAAGUCCCUUGUGAUCAUUUCUACUCCAUAAUAUUGAAUUAUCAUCGAAUAAUCCGACUAGAUUACAUAUUUUUGAGGUGUAAAUCGGAGAUUUGAACUUAGAAAUUUAGAAAUAAGAUUUGAUGAUUUGGAGGUCGAGUUGAGGUUGGAUUUUUGUAAAAUUAGUAUGGGUAGACUCGUGGUGGAAUGGGCUUUCGGAUUUUGUAACUUUUGUCGGGUUCCGAGACGUGGGCGAAUUUUGAGCUAAAUUUCGGAUUUUUAUGAAAAAUUAGUAUCUUCUUAUGGAAUUAAUUCUAAUAAAUUUUAUUGACUGAACCGAAUUAUUGUGACUAGAUUCGAGGCACCCGGAGGCCGAUUUGCGAGGCAAAGGCAUAACAGAGUAAAGAAUUUUACGUUUUGAGGUAAGUAACAGUUAUAAAUUUGGUCAUGAGGGUAUGAAACCCCUGAUUUUUGUGUCAUGUUAUUAUUUUGGAGGUGACGCACAUGCUAGGUGACGGGCGUGUGGGUGUGCACUGAAGGGAUCACGACUUGGUCCGUCUCGUGAAACUGUAAAGUUGAAUAACUUGUUGUUAGUUAUAUGCUAUCUUUGUGUUGAAUAAAUUUGACUGUAAAUCAUGUUUAAAAUCAUGCUUAGGCUAUGUGAUAGUACUGUUGGACCCACAGAGGUCGUGUACUUGUUGAAUUAUUUGCUAAUUGUUGUCGUGUACUCAGUCAUAAUUUUACUUGUGCAUCAUACCUCAGUCUUUCUUGAUAUUUGUUGAUUCACUAUGUUAUCUUUGUUUGGGCUGAUCUUUAUGAUUUCGGAGAGCCCGAGAGACAAGAGAGGUUGAGGACUAAGUAAGGCCAAGGGCCUGUCGGUGGGGUAAGGAUAUAUGGCACGUGAUUUGUCCCUGCAGGAUAUUAUAGCACGUGAGUUGUCCGUGCAGAUUAUGACGCUUGGGAUAUAGGAGCCCCUUCAGAGUUUGUACAACCCCAGUGAGCGCGGGUACCCAUUUAGUGUGAGUGCUGAGGGCUGAGAGCUGAGUGGUUGAGCUAUUGUGACGAGUUGAGUGACUGUUGCCUGAGAGGUUGUACUUGCUUUUCAUUUAUUGUGGCAUUUAGUUGCUAUCUGUCAUUAUUGUGAAAUUCUCUGAAAGAUUCUAUAUCCGGAUUACAUGAACAUGAACUGUAUAAAAUUGAUUUGACUUAAACUGUUGGAUUUGAAAGCAUGUCUAUUCUUUGCUGGAAUUACUGUAAGUGAACUAUAACUGUGUAGCUCGUCACUAUCUUCAGUUCCUUAUUUAUUAUUGUUACUUGCUGAGUUAGUUAUACUCAUACUACACCCUGCACUUCGUGUGCAGAUCCAGAUAUUCCCGAACAUAGCGGGUGUUGAUUCUUUCUCACAGUUGAUUUUUCGAAGAUUCUGAGGUAGCUGCCGUGUUUCACAAACCUUGCCUCUCCUUCCCUAUCUCCUUAUUUAUUGUAUUUGGUCUUAGACUAUUAUAGACCGUAUUUUCCAGACUUGUAUUCAUAUUAGAUGCUCAUGUACUCAGUGACAUCGGGUUUAGGGAGUAAUUAUAUUUGUACUUGUGAGAUUUCUUUCGCUAAAUUAAAUCAUUAUGUUUUCUCCGCUGUUAGAAGUAGAUCUCAUUG
Molecule: long non-coding RNA, 1728 nt
Filed under: Nicotiana tabacum (common tobacco)
Lineage: Eukaryota; Viridiplantae; Streptophyta; Magnoliopsida; Solanales; Solanaceae
Description: long non-coding RNA (NTAB_LNC000666)
Source: RNAcentral